CUACGGGAUGCUGCAGUGGGGAAUAUUGCACAAUGGAGGAAACUCUGAUGCAGCAACGCCGCGUGGAGGAUGACACUUUUCGGAGCGUAAACUCCUUUUAUAUAGGAAGAAGAUGACGGUACUAUAUGAAUAAGCGCCGGCUAACUCCGUGCCAGCAGCCGCGGUAAUACGGAGGGCGCAAGCGUUACUCGGAAUCACUGGGCGGAAAGAGCGUGUAGGCGGAUUAAAAAGUCAGAAGUGAAAUCCUAUAGCUUAACUAUAGAACUGCUUCUGAAACUCUUAAUCUAGAAUGUGGGAGAGGUAGAUGGAAUUUCUGGUGUAGGGGUAAAAUCCGUAGAGAUCAGAAGGAAUACCGAUUGCGAAGGCGAUCUACUAGAACAUUAUUGACGCUGAAACGCGAAAGCGUGGGGAGCAAACAGGAUUAAAUACCCCAGUAGUC
Molecule: ribosomal RNA, 439 nt
Filed under: uncultured bacterium
Lineage: Bacteria
Description: partial 16S ribosomal RNA
Rfam family: Bacterial small subunit ribosomal RNA
Source: RNAcentral